Molecule: small nuclear RNA, 159 nt
Organism: Jaculus jaculus (lesser Egyptian jerboa)
Lineage: Eukaryota; Metazoa; Chordata; Mammalia; Rodentia; Dipodidae
Gene: U1
Rfam family: U1 spliceosomal RNA
About the family: U1 is a small nuclear RNA (snRNA) component of the spliceosome (involved in pre-mRNA splicing). Its 5' end forms complementary base pairs with the 5' splice junction, thus defining the 5' donor site of an intron. There are significant differences in sequence and secondary structure between metazoan and yeast U1 snRNAs, the latter being much longer (568 nucleotides as compared to 164 nucleotides in human).
Source: Ensembl
AAGGACACCUGGCAGGGGAGACGCCAUAAUCAUGAAGGUGGUUUUCCCAGGGCCAGGCUUAUCCAUCGCACUCUGGAUGUACUGACCCCUGUGAUUUCCCCAAAUGCGGAACAGUACAUAACUUGUGGUAGAGGGGGACUGCGUUCACGCUCUCCCGGU